CAUUAUCGAAUCUUGAGGGGGGGAAGGCAAGUUUGAGGGGGAAGGAAAGACUGUCGCUGGUCAGCUUCGUUUGACAUUGUGCACGUCCUUCUUCUCGUUCAUCUUCCUUUCUCUUUCUCUCUCACACAACACACCUGUGCACUCUUUGUAGGUCCUCGAAAGAGGAUCUAUGUAUUUCUAUCUUCACACCCGAUGUAUGGCUUUGGAAUGUGUACGAAAUCUUAUUUUACAACUUUCAGCAACGGAUCUCUUGGCUCUCGCAUCGAUGAAGAACGCAGCGAAUUGCGAUAAGUAAUGUGAAUUGCAGAUUUUCAGUGAAUCAUCGAAUCUUUGAACGCACCUUGCGCUCCUUGGUAUUCCGAGGAGCAUGCCUGUUUGAGUGUCAUUAAAUUCUUAACCAUGUCCUUGAUCGAUUUCAAGACAUGGCUUGGAGUUGGGAGUUUGUCGGCAUCGAAAGAUGGUCGACUCUCCUGAAAUGUAUUAGCAAAAGGAGGCUCUUGAGCAUCGCAUGGGCUAGCCUUUCGACGUGAUAAUGAUCGUCGUGGUUGGGUCAUGUUGCAUCAAGAAUUCAGCUCUGCUUGCUUCCAACAAACCCAUGGACAGGAAUUCGACUCUGGACUCGAGUCCAAGGUUCAAGUCCUAGCUACUAGUCGGCCAUGUGAGGUCUGGCGAACACUAGGAAGGACUUUGAAUCGGGAUGGGGGCGUCUUACUUCAUGCCAUGACUUUGAAUGCUUGACCUCAAAUCAGGUGGGAUUACCCGCUGAACUUAAGCAUAUCAAUAAGCGGAGGAAAAGAAACUAACAAGGAU
This 810-nucleotide ribosomal RNA is filed under the name uncultured fungus. Its description in RNAcentral is "eukaryotic LSU rRNA". The stretch from base 231 to 385 matches the Rfam family "5.8S ribosomal RNA". Lineage: Eukaryota; Fungi. The record is from RNAcentral.